Molecule: ribosomal RNA, 444 nt
Filed under: uncultured bacterium
Lineage: Bacteria
Description: SSU rRNA
Rfam family: Bacterial small subunit ribosomal RNA
Source: RNAcentral
AGAGCGAACGCUGGCGGCAGGCCUAACACAUGCAAGUCGAGCGCCCCGCAAGGGGAGCGGCAGACGGGAGAGUAACACGUGGGAACGUACCCUUUGGUUCGGAACAACACAGGGAAACUUGUGCUAAUACCGGAUAAGCCCUUACGGGGAAAGAUUUAUUGCCAAAGGAUCGGCCCGCGUCUGAUUAGCUUGUUGGUGAGGUAACGGCUCACCAAGGCUACGAUCAGUAGCUGGUCUGAGAGGAUGAUCAGCCUCACUGGGACUGAGACACGGCCCAGACUCCUACGGGAGGCAGCAGUGGGGAAUAUUGGACAAUGGGCGCAAGCCUGAUCCAGCCAUGCCGCGUGGAUGAUGAAGGCCCUAGGGUUGUAAAGUCCUUUCGACGGGGAAGAUAAUGACGGUACCCGUAGAAGAAGCCCCGGCUAACUACGCGCCAGCAGCCGC